CCCGCUGAACUUAAGCAUAUCAAUAAGGCGAGGAACAGAAACCAACCGGGAUUCCCCCAGUAGUGGCGAAUGAAGCGGGAAAAGCUCAAGUUUGAAAUCUGGCUUCCGUCAGAGUUGUAAGCUGAAGAGGCUUCGACCGAUGUGGCUCGGGCUCAGUUCCCUUGGGAUAGGGAGUCAUGGAGGGUGAGAACCCCGUUCGUGGCCUGGCAGCCUUCAUCCUUGUGUCGUUUCCUCGAAGAGUCGGGUUGUUUGGGAAUGCAGCUCAAAAUGGGUGGUAAAUUUCAUCUAAAGCUAAAUAUUGGCGAGAGACCGAUAGCAAACAAGUAGAGUAAUCGAAAGAUGAAAAGUACUUUGAAAAGAGAGUGAAACAGUGCGUGAAAUUGUUGAAAGGGAACCGUUUGGUAUCAGCCCAUGGCCAUCUCUGAUCAUCCGGGCUUCUGUCUGGUGCACUCGGAGGUGGUCGGGCCAGCGUCGACUUUGCCUGCUGGAGAAAGGUCCGGGGAACGUGGCUCUUCACGGAGUGUUAUAGCCCUGGGCGUCAUGCGGCAUGGCGGGGUCGAGGUCUGCGGUCUUCCUAGGACGCUGGCGUAAUGGUCCCAAGCGACCCGUCUUGAAACACGG
RNAcentral lists this ribosomal RNA (621 nucleotides) under uncultured fungus. RNAcentral describes it as "eukaryotic LSU rRNA". It matches the Rfam family "Eukaryotic large subunit ribosomal RNA", at positions 24 to 664 of the family's 3401-position model. The record is from RNAcentral. Lineage: Eukaryota; Fungi.